UGGGGAAUAUUGGCACAAUGGGCGAAAGCCUGAAUGCAGCAACGCCGCGUGCGGGAUGACGGCCUUCGGGCUUGUAAAACCGCUUUCAGCAGGGACGAAGGUUUUCUGACGGUACCUGCAGAAGAAGCACCGGCUAACUACGUGCCAGCAGCCGCGGUGAUACGUAGGGUGCGAGCGUUGUCCGGAAUUAUUGGGCGUAAAGAGCUUGUAGGCGGUCCGUUGCGUCGGAAGUGAAAACUCAGGGCUUAACCCCUGAGCCUGCUUUCGAUACGGGCGGACUUGAGGGAUGUAGGGGAGAACGGAAUUCCUGGUGGAGCGGUGGAAUGCGCAGAUAUCAGGAGGAACACCAGUGGCGAAGGCGGUUCUCUGGACAUUUCCUGACGCUGAGAAGCGAAAGCGUGGGGAGCAAACAGGCUUAGAUACCCUGGUAGUCCACGCCGUAAACGGUGGGCACUAGGUGUGGGACCCAUUCCACGGGUUCCGUGCCGUAGCUAACGCAUUAAGUG
This 506-nucleotide ribosomal RNA is filed under the name uncultured bacterium. RNAcentral's name for it is "partial 16S ribosomal RNA". It matches the Rfam family "Bacterial small subunit ribosomal RNA", at positions 355 to 866 of the family's 1533-position model. The record is from RNAcentral.